GGGAAAUCAGUAAAGUGAAUUAGGCAGUAAAAUAUAGAUUUAAACUAAACUAUGACUAUAAUGUGCGCACGGAACUUUCUUGGAGAAAUAAGCUUUCUGUGUGCAAGGAGAAAUUACAGGAUUUGUUAUUUCUGUCACGUAACAAAACUCAUCAUGUUGCAGAUAUAUUAUUGUUCCGUCUUUUUCAACUGGUUUUAUAUGAUGGCCCAAGCAGCCCCGAAGUGCAGAAUAGGUGCAUGAUUUGAAGGCUUUUUUGAAGAGGUUUUGCUGGGCAAAAGUGCCUGGCUGAAGUCCAUGAGUUGCUCUUCAGAUGGCCUCAAUGAUGGAUUAUUACUGGAACAGUUUUAGGAGGAGACUGUCACCUAUGCAAUCUUUGUGAUGUAAACCGUUGUUUAAAAAAAAUAAAAAAAUUUGUGCAGUAUGUUACACCUGUUUUUUUUUUUUUUCUUUUCAUGUAAUAAUGAUCAUAGUGCAGAAUAGUGCAUGAUUUGAAGGCUUUUUUGAAGAGGCUUUGCUGGGCAAAAGUGCCUGGCUGAAGUCCAUGUGUUGCUCUUCAGAUGGCCUCAAUGAGGCUGUAAUAUGUGGCAGUAGAUGGAUUAUUACUGGAGCACUUUAGGAGGAGACUGUCACCUAUGCAAUCUUUGUGAUGUAAACCGUUGUUUUUUUGUUUUUAAAUUUGAACCAAAUGGUCUUAUUAAUGUGUGCAGUAUGUUACACCUGUUGGGCUUUUUCUUUCUUUUCAUGUAAUAAUGAUCCAUAUAUACAUUUAGGACAGUUGCAGUUUUUGUUAUGACCAAGCUCCAUUAACAGUUCAGUAAGUAGCUUAAAUACAUAAGCAAAUUGUUCUCAAAUGGCAAAUGUCCAUUGUAGUGAAUUACCUGCACAACAGGGGUUCAUUAAUGAGAAGUGUGCCUUGGAGGUAAAGAGGAUAAAACUAUAUAGUGACGUAAGUGUUUGUGUAUGCUACCCCCUUGUGGCUAUUUUGAGUCACUACAGUUGUGGCAGAGGUCUUUUUUUUUUUUAACCCGCACUCUCUCUUCCUCAGCUGUCUCUGGGCCCGGUUCCCAGUCUUUUAAAAGGGGUAUUGGGGAAAGGGGGGUUGAUUUCAUGGCAUAUGAUUGUUUAGUCUCAGUUCCUAAGGGGUUCUACCCUCUCUUUCAAGUCUUUCUCGUGUGUCGAUGCAGUGUGAAGCACAGCAGUUGUGAAAAGAUUAUACAUGCACAAGCAUGAGGCCAUGACAUCAGAUGUCCUGAAAAUUACACCUAAAUUCACCUCUGAUUAUAGUGAUACGUAACAACAGAAUCUAUCCAAGUACUGCAGGAUUAGAUUUAAAUGAUAAUUAGUAUUUGUGAAUAUUUUAUACAGCUUGCAGUUACAACCAGGGGAACCUGAAAUAUGAGCUCGACAUUGGAACAGUUAACAUCUGUUCCAG
This is a long non-coding RNA of Clupea harengus (Atlantic herring), 1432 nucleotides long. Lineage: Eukaryota; Metazoa; Chordata; Actinopteri; Clupeiformes; Clupeidae. The record is from Ensembl.